UGCAGUCGAGCGAACAGACAAGGAGCUUGCUCCUUUGACGUUAGCGGCGGACGGGUGAGUAACACGUGGGUAACCUACCUAUAAGACUGGGAUAACUUCGGGAAACCGGAGCUAAUACCGGAUAAUAUUUCGAACCGCAUGGUUCGAUAGUGAAAGAUGGUUUUGCUAUCACUUAUAGAUGGACCCGCGCCGUAUUAGCUAGUUGGUAAGGUAACGGCUUACCAAGGCGACGAUACGUAGCCGACCUGAGAGGGUGAUCGGCCACACUGGAACUGAGACACGGUCCAGACUCCUACGGGAGGCAGCAGUAGGGAAUCUUCCGCAAUGGGCGAAAGCCUGACGGAGCAACGCCGCGUGAGUGAUGAAGGUCUUCGGAUCGUAAAACUCUGUUAUUAGGGAAGAACAUACGUGUAAGUAACUGUGCACGUCUUGACGGUACCUAAUCAGAAAGCCACGGCUAACUACGUGCCAGCAGCCGCGGUAAUACGUAGGUGGCAAGCGUUAUCCGGAAUUAUUGGGCGUAAAGCGCGCGUAGGCGGUUUUUUAAGUCUGAUGUGAAAGCCCACGGCUCAACCGUGGAGGGUCAUUGGAAACUGGAAAACUUGAGUGCAGAAGAGGAAAGUGGAAUUCCAUGUGUAGCGGUGAAAUGCGCAGAGAUAUGGAGGAACACCAGUGGCGAAGGCGACUUUCUGGUCUGUAACUGACGCUGAUGUGCGAAAGCGUGGGGAUCAAACAGGAUUAGAUACCCUGGUAGUCCACGCCGUAAACGAUGAGUGCUAAGUGUUAGGGGGUUUCCGCCCCUUAGUGCUGCAGCUAACGCAUUAAGCACUCCGCCUGGGGAGUACGACCGCAAGGUUGAAACUCAAAGGAAUUGACGGGGACCCGCACAAGCGGUGGAGCAUGUGGUUUAAUUCGAAGCAACGCGAAGAACCUUACCAAAUCUUGACAUCCUUUGACAACUCUAGAGAUAGAGCUUUCCCCUUCGGGGGACAAAGUGACAGGUGGUGCAUGGUUGUCGUCAGCUCGUGUCGUGAGAUGUUGGGUUAAGUCCCGCAACGAGCGCAACCCUUAAGCUUAGUUGCCAUCAUUAAGUUGGGCACUCUAAGUUGACUGCCGGUGACAAACCGGAGGAAGGUGGGGAUGACGUCAAAUCAUCAUGCCCCUUAUGAUUUGGGCUACACACGUGCUACAAUGGACAAUACAAAGGGCAGCGAAACCGCGAGGUCAAGCAAAUCCCAUAAAGUUGUUCUCAGUUCGGAUUGUAGUCUGCAACUCGACUACAUGAAGCUGGAAUCGCUAGUAAUCGUAGAUCAGCAUGCUACGGUGAAUACGUUCCCGGGUCUUGUACACACCGCCCGUCACACCACGAGAGUUUGUAACACCCGAAGCCGGUGGAGUAACCAUUGGAGCUAGCCGUCGAA
RNAcentral lists this ribosomal RNA (1421 nucleotides) under Staphylococcus haemolyticus. RNAcentral describes it as "bacterial SSU rRNA". It matches the Rfam family "Bacterial small subunit ribosomal RNA". The record is from RNAcentral. Lineage: Bacteria; Bacillati; Bacillota; Bacilli; Caryophanales; Staphylococcaceae.